GACGUAGGAUGCAAGCGUUGUCCGGAUUUAUUGGGCGUAAAGAGUUCGUAGGCGGUUAGUUAAGUCUGGUGUUAAAUCCCGUGGCCCAACCACGGAGCUGCAUCGGAUACUGGCUGACUUGAGUGCGGUAGAGGCGAGUGGAAUUCCCAGUGUAGCGGUGAAAUGCGUAGAUAUUGGGAAGAACACCAGUGGCGUAAGCGACUCGCUGGGCCGUAACUGACGCUGAGGAACGAAAGCCAGGGGAGCGAAUGGG
This 253-nucleotide unclassified non-coding RNA is filed under the name uncultured cyanobacterium. RNAcentral describes it as "contains 16S-23S intergenic spacer region". It matches the Rfam family "Bacterial small subunit ribosomal RNA", at positions 524 to 776 of the family's 1533-position model. Lineage: Bacteria; Bacillati; Cyanobacteriota. The record is from RNAcentral.